Molecule: long non-coding RNA, 926 nt
Organism: Helianthus annuus (common sunflower)
Lineage: Eukaryota; Viridiplantae; Streptophyta; Magnoliopsida; Asterales; Asteraceae
Exons: 3
Source: RefSeq, a predicted model, not a curated record
UUUUUAUCUUCCUACACUAAUAAAUGGAAGUGUGGAUGCAUUUUUUCAAGAUUAAUCAUCUUAAAAUUACUAAAUAUAUACGGUUUCUAAGCAACUAUGAUGAAUUAAUGACGUGUGAGGUUCCUAAUGGUAGUUGUGUCAUUCAGAAUGUGCGAGUACAAAAGUGCAUUAUUCUUUCGUAGCCAUCUUACUUGGUUAUUACUUAAGUCGGAACGCAGACAUGGCAUGGUCUCCGGUGGCUAUUUGGUUUAUUUAACCAUCAAUUAAUAGAACAAGUCCGAGUCAUACUGUGAAGUUGGGGGUUUAAUAGUCUCAUGCUUAGUCAAGGCAUAAUGAAAGUUGACUCGAAAAAUAUUUAAUAUCGACUUUGUCAAUCUUUUAUGUCUAAGAAACACCAUUUUCUAAAAGUCAACAUGGUUCUGAUAACAGUGGUGGUCUAUAUGACAUCCCUUAGGCGGAUGAUGUCGAAGUAUGUUUUUAUGGUUAGUUUAUUUUAAUUCUGUUGUUUUAUUUAUCGUCAGAUUUAUGUUUUUAAGUGGUUUCAUGUUGAAGAUUCAGAACUCACUAUUGCAUUCCUAUUUAAGGAGUUUGCCUUCAUGGAAGAUGAUGGCGGCAUACCGAGGAACAACUUCAAGUAAUGACUCAGUUGGAGGCUAAGGCCGCUAAGCAAGCUCGAAUCAUCUAGGGAGGAACCAUCAAUGGCAAUGGCUCCAAGAAGUUUACAACCCGACUCGACUAAUACUAGCAUUGUUGCUAGCGAUCAAGCUGUGCCCAUGAAGUAUAUAUUCUCAAGUCAAGCCCAGUUCAUCGAAGCCUUCAGAACUAUUACAUAUCUCAUGGACCAAGAAACAAUAAAGAUCGCUCUGAUUCAUCAAUGGAUAUGCAUGCGGAUCAUGAUUCAUUUUUUACGACUUCUGUUUGAGGAG